RNAcentral lists this transfer RNA (72 nucleotides) under Beta vulgaris subsp. vulgaris (sugar beet). It matches the Rfam family "tRNA". From Rfam's summary of the family: Transfer RNA (tRNA) molecules are approximately 80 nucleotides in length. Their secondary structure includes four short double-helical elements and three loops (D, anti-codon, and T loops). The record is from Rfam by way of RNAcentral. Lineage: Eukaryota; Viridiplantae; Streptophyta; Magnoliopsida; Caryophyllales; Amaranthaceae.
GGUCUGAUGGUUUAGUGGUAUAAUUCUCCCUUAGGGUGGGAGAGGUCCCGGGUUCAAUUCCCGGUCAGACCC